GAUGAAGAACGUAGCGAAAUGCGAUAAGUAAUGUGAAUUGCAGAAUUCAGUGAAUCAUCGAAUCUUUGAACGCAACUUGCGCUCUCUGGUAUUCCGGAGAGCAUGCCUGUUUGAGUGUCAUGAAACCUCAACCAUUAGGGUUUCUUAAUGGCUUGGAUUUGGAGGCUGCCAUUCUAAAUGGCUCCUCUUAAAGGAGUUAGCAAGUUUUACUAUUGCUAUCUGGCGUAAUAAGUUUCGCUGGAAUGGUAUUGUGAAGCGUGCUUCUAAUCGUCUUCGGACAAUUACUUUGACUCUGGCCUCAAAUCAGGUAGGACUACCCGCUGAACUUAAGCAUAUCAAUAAGCGGAGGA
Molecule: unclassified non-coding RNA, 350 nt
Filed under: soil metagenome
Description: partial contains 5.8S ribosomal RNA, internal transcribed spacer 2, and large subunit ribosomal RNA
Rfam family: 5.8S ribosomal RNA (bases 1-120)
Source: RNAcentral